AGAAUCAACGCUGGCGGCGUGCCUAAUACAUGCAAGUCGCACGAGAAAGGGUAGCAAUACCUGAGUACAGUGGCGCACGGGUGAGUAACACGUGAAUAAUCUACCUCCGAGUGGGGAAUAACUGAGAGAAAUCUUAGCUAAUACCGCAUAAUACCCACGGGUCAAAGCAGCAAUGCGCUUGGAGAGGAGUUCGCGGCAGAUUAGUUAGUUGGCGGGGUAAUGGCCCACCAAGACGAUGAUCUGUAUCCGGCCUGAGAGGGCGCACGGACACACUGGAACUGAAACACGGUCCAGACUCCUACGGGAGGCAGCAGUGGGGAAUUUUGCGCAAUGGGGGAAACCCUGACGCAGCAACGCCGCGUGGAGGAUGAAGCCCCUUGGGGUGUAAACUCCUUCGAUCGGGAAGAUAAUGACGGUACCGAUAUAAGAAGCCCGGCUAACUUCGUGCCAGCAGCCGC
RNAcentral lists this ribosomal RNA (458 nucleotides) under uncultured bacterium. Its description in RNAcentral is "SSU rRNA". It matches the Rfam family "Bacterial small subunit ribosomal RNA", at positions 26 to 518 of the family's 1533-position model. The record is from RNAcentral.